AGAGUUUGAUCAUGGCUCAGGAUGAACGCUGGCGGCGUGCCUAAUACAUGCAAGUUGUGCGGUAACAGAGAGAGCUUGCUCUCUGCUGACGAGCGGCGGACGGCAGAGUAACGCGUAGGAACAUACCCCAAACUGAGGGAUAACUGCUCGAAAGAGUAGCUAAUACCGCAUGUGGUCUUCGGAUUAAAGCUUCGGCGGUUUGGGAGUGGCCUGCGUCCGAUUAGCUAGUUGGUGAGGGUAAAUUGCUCACCAAGGCGACGAUCGGUAGCUGGUCUGAGAGGAUGAUCAGCCUGACUGGAACUGAGAACGGUCCAGACUCCUACGGGAGGCAGCAGUAGGGAAUUUUCCACAAUGGGCGAAAGCCUGAUGGAGCAACGCCGCGUGCAGGAUGAAUGCCUUCGGGUUGUAAACUGCUUUUCUGUGUGAAGAAUAUGACGGUAACACAGGAAUAAGGGUCGGCUAACUACGUG
RNAcentral lists this ribosomal RNA (470 nucleotides) under uncultured bacterium. RNAcentral's name for it is "bacterial SSU rRNA". It matches the Rfam family "Bacterial small subunit ribosomal RNA", at positions 8 to 507 of the family's 1533-position model. The record is from RNAcentral.